AUGUGGAUGAAGACCAUGUUCUUGGUGCUCCUACUAUGCAUGCUGGUGGCGACACCAAUGGCGGCCGAGUACGGCGUGGGGAGCCAUAACAGUGGUCCUUGGAUGUGGUGUGAUCCGGCGAUGGGCCACAGGGUGAGCCCGCUCACGGGAUGCCGAGCAAUGGUGAAGCUCCAGUGCGUGGGCAACCAGGUGCCGGAGGCUAUCCAAAGAGACUGCUGCCAGGAGCUCGCCAACAUCACCAACGACUGGUGCAGGUGCCAUGACCUCGGCAGCAUGCUGAACAGCGUGUAUCAGGAGCUCGGCGCGCGGGAGGGAACGGAGGUGUUCCCGGGUUGUCGGAAGGAGGUGAUGAAGCUCACAGCGGCGAGCGUGCCUGCGGUCUGCAAGGUGCCCAUUCCUAACGCGAGGGGUGGAGAAGGUGUCUGCUACUGGGCCUAG
RNAcentral lists this ribosomal RNA (438 nucleotides) under Triticum aestivum (bread wheat). RNAcentral describes it as "partial small subunit ribosomal RNA". The record is from RNAcentral. Lineage: Eukaryota; Viridiplantae; Streptophyta; Magnoliopsida; Poales; Poaceae.